This 462-nucleotide ribosomal RNA is filed under the name uncultured bacterium. RNAcentral's name for it is "bacterial SSU rRNA". It matches the Rfam family "Bacterial small subunit ribosomal RNA", at positions 28 to 507 of the family's 1533-position model. The record is from RNAcentral.
GACGAACGCUGGCGGCGUGCCUAACACAUGCAAGUCGAACGAAGAAUGUUUUUCGGAAUAUUCUUAGUGGCGGACGGGUGAGUAACGCGUGAACAAUCUGCCCCGUACAAAGGGAUAGCCUCGGGAAACCGGGAUUAAAACCAUAUAACACUUAACUGCCGCAUGGUAGUGAAGUCAAAUCGAGUAAGAGGUAUGGGAUGAGUUCGCGUCUGAUUAGCUAGUUGGUGAGGUAAGGGCUCACCAAGGCGACGAUCAGUAGCCGGCCUGAGAGGGUGAACGGCCACACUGGAACUGAGACACGGUCCAGACUCCUACGGGAGGCAGCAGUGGGGAAUAUUGCACAAUGGAGGGAACUCUGAUGCAGCGACGCCGCGUGAGUGAAGAAGGUCUUCGGAUCGUAAAACUCUGUCCUUGGUGAAGAAAAGGACGGUAGCCAAGGAGGAAGCCCCGGCUAACUACGUG